CUGACCGAUAGUGAACCAGUACCGUGAGGGAAAGGCGAAAAGAACCCCGGCGAGGGGAGUGAAAAAGAACCUGAAACCGUGUACGUACAAGCAGUGGGAGCACCCUUUGGGGUGUGACUGCGUACCUUUUGUAUAAUGGGUCAGCGACUUAUAUUCUGUAGCAAGGUUAACCGAAUAGGGGAGCCGGAGGGAAACCGAGUCUUAACCGGGCGUUAAGUUGCAGGGUAUAGACCCGAAACCCGGUGAUCUAGCCAUGGGCAGGUUGAAGGUUGGGUAACACUAACUGGAGGACCGAACCGACUAAUGUUGAAAAAUUAGCGGAUGACCUGUGGCUGGGGGUGAAAGGCCAAUCAAACCGGGAGAUAGCUGGUUCUCCCCGAAAGCUAUUUAGGUAGCGCCUCGUGAAUUCAUCUCCGGGGGUAGAGCACUGUUUCGGCUAGGGGGCCAUCCCGGCUUACCAACCCGAUGCAAACUGCGAAUACCGGAGAAUGUUAUCACGGGAGACACACGGCGGGUGCUAACGUCCGUCGUGAAGAGGGAAACAACCCAGACCGCCAGCUAAGGUCCCAAAGUCAUGGUUAAGUGGGAAACGAUGUGGGAAGGCCCAGACAGCCAGGAUGUUGGCUUAGAAGCAGCCAUCAUUUAAAGAAAGCGUAAUAGCUCACUGGUCGAGUCGGCCUGCGCGGAAGAUGUAACGGGGCUAAACCAUGCACCGAAGCUGCGGCAGCGACGCUGAUGCGUUGUUGGGUAGGGGAGCGUUCUGUAAGCCUGCGAAGGUGGCCUGUGAGGGUUGCUGGAGGUAUCAGAAGUGCGAAUGCUGACAUAAGUAACGAUAAAGCGGGUGAAAAGCCCGCUCGCCGGAAGACCAAGGGUUCCUGUCCAACGUUAAUCGGGGCAGGGUGAGUCGACCCCUAAGGCGAGGCCGAAAGGCGUAGUCGAUGGGAAACGGGUUAAUAUUCCCGUACUUGGUGUUACUGCGAAGGGGGGACGGAGAAGGCUAUGUUGGCCGGGCGACGGUUGUCCCGGUUUAAGCGUGUAGGUGUGUGUUCCAGGUAAAUCCGGUU
This 1064-nucleotide ribosomal RNA is filed under the name Salmonella enterica. Its description in RNAcentral is "partial 23S ribosomal RNA". It matches the Rfam family "Bacterial large subunit ribosomal RNA", at positions 480 to 1547 of the family's 2925-position model. Lineage: Bacteria; Pseudomonadati; Pseudomonadota; Gammaproteobacteria; Enterobacterales; Enterobacteriaceae. The record is from RNAcentral.